GGCUGUUCCAAAGGUAGUGAGUUAUGUCAAUUGUUCACAGUCAGUUACAGAUCGAACUCUUUGUUCCCUGCUUCUCACUAUUCUACUUGACUAGUCUUUA
Molecule: Y RNA, 100 nt
Organism: Callithrix jacchus (white-tufted-ear marmoset)
Lineage: Eukaryota; Metazoa; Chordata; Mammalia; Primates; Cebidae
Rfam family: Y RNA
About the family: Y RNAs are components of the Ro ribonucleoprotein particle (Ro RNP), in association with Ro60 and La proteins.
Source: Ensembl